Long non-coding RNA from Ctenopharyngodon idella (grass carp), 3381 nucleotides. RefSeq lists it as uncharacterized. NCBI's taxonomy places the organism in Eukaryota, Metazoa, Chordata, Actinopteri, Cypriniformes, Xenocyprididae. The record is from RefSeq and is a predicted model, not a curated record. The transcript has 2 exons.
UAAUAACGACAACACAACUGUGAUUUGAAGAUAAAGAAAAAACAGAUACCUUGUUUGUGUGGAAAAACAGAUGUGAGAUAACUUGGAGGAAAAUAGAUGUUUGAUUUAUAGAGAAAAAUGGAGGAAAAUAUGUGAGAACAAUAUAAAUAUAAAAGAUAGCUUUUGUAUAUUGAAAAAAUGUAAAAGAUAACUGGUAAGAAAACAGAUGUUUGUAUUAAAGAAUGAGAGACAACUGGUUUUGUAAAGCAUUUAAUAAAGAAUGUAAUAAUUGUUUAUUAAAGAAAGACAAAACAACUGGUUUUUGAAAGUACUUUAAUAAGAAUGUAGUUUAGAAAGAAAGACACUACAACUGUUGUUUUAAGAUUUUAUUUGGAGCAUGUUGGUAGAAUAGAGAAAAACAUGUAUUAGAAAGAGCUUUGCUAUAAAGUACAAAAAGGGAUAAUUACCUUUGUAUGAAGUUUUGCAAGACGAGUCCAAAAGCAAACAAAAGCGAAAGCCUUUAUAUAUAGACUAAGAUGAGGGGAAUUCCAGAGAAGAUGACCUCAAGAGGUCAGAUCGUCUAUAAAAGGCUGGAACGAGAAGAGAACAGCAGAUGCUGCUUCGCACCUGAGGAGCUUCUCCAGCACCAGAACCAGCGCAGAUGAUGCCUUGACUGAAGAACUUUUUGAUAUUAUACUUUAUUUAAUCACUUGUAUAGAGUGUUUGUGGAAUAUAUAUAAUGCUAGAAAUACUAACUGUAAUAAAUAAAUGAACUUAUAACUUGAUAACUAAACUCUGCCUCACGUGACAUUAAUUUAAGUCGUUGAACCUGAACAGACCACGGAGAAGUCUUCUGUCUGAUUCAGCUCCAGGAGCUAUCAUCAUCUCCAUCACUCAUCUGCGUAAGGUAUGAAAUUGCUCUGUUUAAUACAUAUGCAUGCUUGAUACAGAAACAUGUUUGAAUAUGAUUCCGUUUAAAUACAGUUUGUCAGUAAUCAGUGUGGUAGAUUUUCCCGUACGCACCUGACUUAAGUUUACCUGGGUGGUCUCCUAAUCGACGUCGGCUGAGUGCUGAGUAACUUGCUGCGCAGCAAUAACCAGACAGACUCCAGACUAUGCCGUAGAAUAUGCUUUAAUCACGGCCGGAGGACCUCGUAUCAAUCACAGAGAAUCCCACCAGCAAGAAGAAUACAACAGUUUAUAUAGGAUAGGAGCAUGGCAAAGCAUUCUAUAUGAUUGGUUCUUCAUAUGUCAAACCCUCAUGUUACUAGGUAAAGCAAGAUCUGCCCAAAUCAUGUGCGUAUUAGUUCGUUUGUUACUCAAUAUCAUGGGCUGUUAUAUUUAGAUAGUUGUCUAGCUGUCCCUAAGUUUCAUUUCCCCUUUUGUUAUAUUCAGACAUGAUUCAGACACACACUGACUUUGGUGACAUUUAGGUUCCAAAAGCAUAUAAAUGUUAUUCCUGCAAUGAAAAAGAAAUGUUAGUUAUGAUUAAUUAAAAUCAUCACAUCACAUCACAGUACCCCCCCCCCCCCCCAUUCGUUUUUUUACACGAUCAAAAUGAAUUUAUGCUUACAUAAUUUAUAUGUUCUUUACUGAAUAAUCCCGUUAUAAGUCACUGCUAAAUUGUACUUCAAUGCCACCUGAUAUCCUUCAUAAUUUUUUCAUAUUCCUUCCAUCAGCAUCCCAAGCUGGAAUGAAAAUACAACCAAUUUUCCCAGUUUUGCCACUUACACAUACCAUCUUCUGAACAUUUUAUCUUUCAACAAUCUCAUUUAAAAAACAAUCCAUACAACAUCAGAUGUCAUUUAGGACAUUCCCAUGCAUUUCUUUUGAAAAAUGAAGAUUCAGUUGUAUGUGUGUUUGUGUUACAGUGCUGGGUUGUAGAGAUGAGGCGUUCACAGAGAUUAACAAGUAUUUAUUAAUAACCAAGGAGAAGACACAACCAAACACACGUAGAACAACAUUAAGAACGGACAGGGAGUGAAGGGAGUAAGUCCAUAAUAUAGGGAGUGCUGAUGAGGAAAUCCAGGUGCAGAUGAUGAGUGCUGAAGGGGAGAUGACGAGUACCCCCCCCCCCCACGGGUACCUGCCCCUGCAAUGGUCUUACUGUUUAAGGACCUGUGUAAUAAGGUCUAACCAGAAUUUUUUUUUUUUUUUAGAAUUCAUAAUAUUAUUAAUUAUCAUUAAAGCCCCCCUGUAGUCAACAAUUGUAUCCCUUAAUACCUUAUGAAUUUGCACAUGGUUUGUCUGAAAGUACAUUAGAACACCAUAUAGACAUAUAAACAACAUUAAAAACUUGAUUUUCACCACAGGGGGUCUUUAAGGAAUAUCAUUUUUACCAUUAACACAAAUAUCUUGUCUAAUUUUGCAUUGUUUCAAAAUGGACUCUGUAUAACCCAGCUCUUGUCAUAGGAAUAGCCUUAGCUACUGACAUGGCAUUAAAUCUUUAUCUACCUCCCCACAAUCCUAUUUUCCAGAGUCAACUGAUGGACAUGAAAUGUUCUCUAUUUUAAACUAACUCGGAGCCAAUUUAGGUCAUUUUUUUCAUAGUGGAAUAGUUCAUAAUGGAUCCACUGAUCCAGAUCACAGACUCUAUCCACAUUGUGAAUUAAGAAAGCUUUUCAGAAUUUUGCUGUUUGAGCAAUUACUCUAUUUUGCUGGGAUGUCUGUUUAACAUGUUUAACAUUCUUCUUGGUCUAGGUUUUAGCUUUGUGCCCACCACAUAACUUGCUUAAAUACAUGUUUUAUUAAAACAUUAAAAUCUUUAGUGGUAUGUUGGAAGUCCAGUUAUAGCUAAUAAUAAUCUAGAAAUUAAAUGUGUUUCCCUUACAAAUCAAUCUCCUAUGUCAAAUUUGCAAGUCGUAUUAUGAUCUCACAACUUUAAAAAGUUCCUAAACACGGGUUGUCUUUUCUAUAAUCAAUAUUUCACAGAUUUACUGGAUUAGUCAGAUUUUUUGCAAGCUUUAAUCAGAUUGAAGGAGAAUAUUCAUCGCUUUUUCACAGACUUUGAUGACACGGUUUAAUGGUCAUCAGCAUCGUAAAUCCUGCAAAGUUUUAUAUUUCCAUUUUUAAUGUAUGUACAAUAUAACAACACUAUUUUUACCUUUGCAUCAAAUUACAAAAAAACUAGUUAACACUGCUGUUAGGGUGUUUCUAAUAAUGUGGCUAUGGUCAAAUGUCGGUAAAAUUGACAUCAGUCUCUCAUUAUUUUUAAAUUAAGUUCUGAAAACACUAUUGCGGAGUUUUUCCUUUGCUAUUGGAGCAAAUGGGAACAAUAUAUAUAUGUAGUCUCUCAUUCACCGCUAUAGAAGUUAAAAUGUGAAAAGGGUGUAUAUUUGGACCUAGUCCGGCGAAGCGACUCAUACAUUCUCUCUUAUUUAGAGAACAACUAUUGCAACUAUU